This 253-nucleotide ribosomal RNA is filed under the name uncultured bacterium. RNAcentral describes it as "partial 16S ribosomal RNA". It matches the Rfam family "Bacterial small subunit ribosomal RNA", at positions 524 to 776 of the family's 1533-position model. The record is from RNAcentral.
UACAGAGGGUGCAAGCGUUGUUCGGAAUUAUUGGGCGUAAAGCGCGUGUAGGCGGCAGUGCAAGUCGGGUGUGAAAUCCCCAGGCUUAACCUGGGAACUGCAUUCGAGACUGCAUUGCUAGAGUAUGGGAGAGGGAAGUGGAAUUUCAGGUGUAGCGGUGAAAUGCGUAGAUAUCUGAAGGAACAUCAGUGGCGAAAGCGACUUCCUGGACCAAUACUGACGCUCAUGUGCGAAAGCGUGGGGAGCAAACAGG